AACUAAGUCNCGGUUCNUAAAUUUGGCUAACAAAAAGGGCCAUUAGCUCAGUUGGUUAGAGCGCNCCCCUGAUAAGGGUGAGGUCNCUGGUUCGUGUCCAGUAUGGCCCACUUGAGAAGCUAAUAACUAGAAGCGAAAAGCUGAAAGUGAUAGUUAACUCUGGGGAUAUAGCUCAGUUGGUAGAGCGCCUGCUUUGCACGCAGGAAGUCAGGAGUUCGAAUNUCCUUAUCUCCACCAAACUACUANCGAGAGACCAACAAAAGCAAAAGCAAGAGUUUAGCAACUCAUCUAGUUAGGGAAAACCUAAACAACUAGAGAGNCUGCUAAAUUCUAGCGAAAGCGAGAAUUUAGAAAG
RNAcentral lists this transfer RNA (355 nucleotides) under Pseudanabaena sp. Sai006. RNAcentral describes it as "partial contains 16S-23S ribosomal RNA intergenic spacer and 23S ribosomal RNA". The stretch from base 162 to 234 matches the Rfam family "tRNA". Lineage: Bacteria; Bacillati; Cyanobacteriota; Cyanophyceae; Pseudanabaenales; Pseudanabaenaceae. The record is from RNAcentral.